Molecule: ribosomal RNA, 460 nt
Filed under: uncultured bacterium
Lineage: Bacteria
Description: partial 16S ribosomal RNA
Rfam family: Bacterial small subunit ribosomal RNA
Source: RNAcentral
CCUACGGGCGGCAGCAGUGAGGAAUAUUGGUCAAUGGGCGCUAGCCUGAACCAGCCAAGUAGCGUGAAGGAUGACUGCCCUAUGGGUUGUAAGCUUCUUUUAUAGGGGAAUAAAGUGCAGAGUGUAUACUGCUUUGCAUGUACCUUAUGAGUAGGGAUCGGCUAACUCCGUUCCAGCCGCGGCGGUAAUACGGAGGGGCCGAGCGUUAUCCGGAUUGAUUGGGUUUAAAGGGAGCGUAGGCGGGUUGUUAAGUCAGUUGUGAAAGUUUCCGGCUCAACCGUAAAAUUGCAGUUGAUACUGGCAUCCUUGAGUCCAGUAGAGGUAGGUGGAAUUCGUGGUGUAGCGGUGAAAUGCUUAGAUAUCACGAAGAACUCCGAUUGCGAAGGCAGCCUGCUGGACUGUAACUGACGCUGAUGCUCGAAAGUGUGGGUAUCAAACAGGAUUAGAUACCCGGGUAGUC